This is a long non-coding RNA of Equus caballus (horse), 2234 nucleotides long. Lineage: Eukaryota; Metazoa; Chordata; Mammalia; Perissodactyla; Equidae. The record is from Ensembl.
CACCGUUGAGUUGUCUGAAGCCAAUCUCCCCUGGAAAUUGACAAAACGUGUCGUUUUCCAAGAGUUUCUGGUUCUCUGAGAUCCAGUUUGGAGGUAUUCAGCUCCCAACUCAGCCUGGAUAAUCUGGUUCUCAUUUGCGGGGCCAGCGUGGUCCUGCAAGAAGAGGGCUCCUUGCAGCUGAUUCAGUUUGGGGUUUGAAAAUGGGCUCCAUGGCCGUGACUCGGGAACUGACUUCUCUUCAAAAGUGGGUGAGGACAUAAGGAUGAGAGAGUUUAUGCAAAGCCGCUACAACUUACGGCUCUUCUCUCCCAGAUUCUCUGCGCUGUCCCUUCUCAGAGCAGCCUGACUUCUGGCCCAGCGAACAUGCACUGUGCAUCCGCUUCAAACAUUUUCCCGAAGCAAAGAAUGCCCUCUUUAAAGAGAGGGAUGGGUGUCUCCUUUUCUCUGACGCCAAUACCAUCACUUCUUUGAAGAUGAGUUUUCUUCUCAGAGAACCAAGGUCAAGUUGACCUGCUGUGUAUGUGCUAAACUUCGGCAAAACAUCUCCUUGUGACUUGGGGAAAAUAAUUGCAUUCCUGUCAUGCCUGACAUAUCUUCUUCGUUCUGAAAUGGUAUAUAACCAUGCUGUCAACCACACUUCUCUGGGGUGCUUUCUGCCCUGGUGGCGAUGGCACUUCCGGGCUUGUCCUCAACAUUAGCUCAUUAAAUAUCUUUCUUAUCUAUAGAUUGGUUAUUGAUGCACCAACAAUUGUUUUUACAUCAUUUUUUUAACGGCUGCCUAGAUUCUACUGAAUGGGCCUACCAUAAUUUUUAAGCAGUCUCUUAUUGCUAGACAUUUUGGUUGUUUCCAAUUUUUUACUAUUAUAAACGACACCGCUCUUCCCACUAACCUGCAUUGCAUCUCUUUAUGCUAAUUUUCUAAAAGUGGAAUAGGUCAGUUACGGAAUAUUAACUUUAAAAAGUCUUUUGAUACCUUUUGGGUAUUGGAUAUUAUUUUUUUAAACUUUUUAUUAUUUAAAAACAACAAACAUUUAUUGAUUAAAAAAAAAAAUCUCCCAUGAACCAAUCACCCAUCCCCUCAGACCGACUAGUCUAUUCUACCUCCCACCCACUUCCACUUCUUCUGUGUUAUUUUGAUGUAAAUCUUUUCAUCCGUAAAGAUUUCAGGAUUUAAAGAGAGGCUCUCUUUGGACAAGAAAUUCACCAUAUCUCCUCUCGGUUCUUCUAGAUAGCGGCAAUGGAAAGUUACCCACCAAUGCUGUUGGGAAGCAUUCCUCUUGGAGGCCGCUCAGGGGCAAAUAUCUAAUCAGAAUCCAUGUGCCCCUUCUCUGGAGCUCUAUUCUUGUUUUGCAGACAGGAAAAAACCACAUGGAUGACUCAGCCAGCCCCAGGGCUCUUUUGUCCACUGCAGGAUCCCCACAGACCCGAAAACUUUGCUUCGCCCAUCACUUUUCACUUAUUUUUUAUUCAUCCCAAAGGCAGGCAGGAAAUUGUUGUCAGUCUGUGAAUCAUGCAGGAAUCUUUCCUCUGCCCUCUCCCAUUUGGAUGUUGCUUCCUUGAACAAUACCCAAGUUGAUGGGCAUUUCCCCCCCACAAUCUCAUCUUGAUGGGCUCAUCUGGCUGGUGGGGAGCUCCAUCUAUUUCACAGCAGAGCCCCUGAGACUCAGGGAGGGAAAGAGAAUUGCUCAAGGUCUCUCAGCCCGUAAGUGGGAGAACCAGGGUGUGAGUCCCGCUUUGUGGGCUCUUUCCACUAACCCACGUUGCCUCUCAAAAAUGGUUACUCCCUGGGGAACUGCUCUCAGUAGCCAUCAGGAUGGAAAAUGAUCUCAAGCACAGUCCUCAGGAGGGUAAAUGGCUGAGUAAUGGACCUCAUAUUGGUGUUCAGGGCCUGCCCCGGAAAUCUCCCAGGCCAGUUUCUGAAAAAUCCUCCUGCUCCUGACAGGCUCCCAGUCUCCAUCCUUAGCUGGCUUCACCCCAGGGGUCCCGGGCACUGAUGGGGUGGGGCAGCCACCCUGGGCUUCACAGCCGGCUCUCCUCCUCACUCACACAGUACCAAUUCUUGCCAAGAUGGCUGCUAAUCCUCAGGAGCUGAGAAGCCGGUGUCGGGGAGGAAGACUUCUCCUCUACCUAAUGUGGGUUCGUCUGGCCGGAGAACGAAUUAAAUUCACAUGAUACAGAAUAGCAGGGGAAAAUUAAACAAAGCUUUAUAACAUGUCUACAUGGGAGAGGUCAGG